This is a long non-coding RNA of Vespula vulgaris, 1822 nucleotides long. RefSeq lists it as uncharacterized. The transcript has 4 exons. The record is from RefSeq and is a predicted model, not a curated record. Lineage: Eukaryota; Metazoa; Arthropoda; Insecta; Hymenoptera; Vespidae.
AUAAAUCAGGAUUUCUAACAGAAUAACAUGAUGUACAAAGAGGUAGCACGCUCAAUCGCAUCCACCAAUUAAAAUAGUCACGCCCAUAUUAGUAAAUACAAACUAUUGGUUCCUCGGAAAUUCUUCCGCAAAUCAGGAUUUCUAACAGGAUCACAUGACGUACGAGGAGGUAGCACGCUCAAUCGUAUCGACCAAUUGAAAUAGUCACGCCCAUGUUAGUAAAUACAAACUAUUGGUUCCUCGGAAAUACUUCCCGCAAAUCAGGAUUUCUAACAGGAUCACAUGACGUACGAGGAGGUAGCACGCUCAAUCGUAUCGACCAAUUGAAAUAGUCACGCCCAUGUUAGUAAAUACAAACUAUUGGUUCCUCGGAAAUACUUCCCGCAAAUCAGGAUUUCUAACAGGAUCACAUGACGUACGAGGAGGUAGCACGCUCAAUCGUAUCGACCAAUUGAAAUAGUCACGCCCAUGUUAGUAAAUACAAACUAUUGGUUCCUCGGAAAUACUUCCCGCAAAUCAGGAUUUCUAACAGGAUCACAUGACGUACGAGGAGGUAGCACGUUCAAUCGUAUCGACCAAUUGAAAUAUUCACGCCCAUGUUAGUAAAUACAAACUAUUGGUUCCUCGGAAAUACUUCCCGCAAAUCAGGAUUUCUAACAGGAUCACAUGAUGUACAAAGAGGUAGCACGCUCAAUCGCAUCCACCAAUUAAAAUAGUCACGCCCAUAUUAGUAAAUAUAUACUAUUGGUUCCUCGGAAAUUCUUCCGCAAAUCAGGAUUUCUAACAGGAUCACAUGACGUACGAGGAGGUAGCACGCUCAAUCUUAUCGACCAAUUGAAAUAGUCACGCCCAUGUUAGUAAAUACAAACUAUUGGUUCCUCGGAAAUUCUUCCCGCAAAUCAGGAUUUCGAACAGGAUCACAUGAUGUACGAGGUGGUAGCACGCUCAAUCGUAUCGACCAAUUGAAAUAUUCACGCCCAUGUUAGUAAAUACAAACUAUUGGUUUUGCGGAAAUACUUCCCGCAAAUCAGGAUUUCUAACAGGAUCACAUGACCUACGAGGAGGUAGCACGUUCAAUCGUAUCGACCAAUUGAAAUAUUCACGCCCAUGUUAGUAAAUACAAACUAUUGGUUCCUCGGAAAUACUUCCCGCAAAUCAGGAUUUCUAACAGGAUCACAUGACGUACGAGGAGGUAGCACGCUCAAUCGUAUCGACCAAUUGAAAUAUUCACGCCCAUGUUAGUAAAUACAAACUAUUGGUUUUGCGGAAAUACUUCCCGCAAAUCAGGAUUUCUAACAGGAUCACAUGACCUACGAGGAGGUAGCACGUUCAAUCGUAUCGACCAAUUGAAAUAUUCACGCCCAUGUUAGUAAAUACAAACUAUUGGUUCCUCGGAAAUACUUCCCGCAAAUCAGGAUUUCUAACAGGAUCACAUGACGUACGAGGAGGUAGCACGCUCAAUCGUCUCGACCAAUUGAAAUAUUCACGCCCAUGUUAGUAAAUACAAACUAUUGGUUCCUCGGAAAUACUUCCCGCAAAUCAGGAUUUCUAACAGGAUCACAUGACGUACGAGGAGGUAGCACGUUCAAUCGUAUCGACCAAUUGAAAUAUUCACGCCCAUGUUAGUAAAUACAAACUAUUGGUUCCUCGGAAAUACUUCCCGCAAAUCAGGAUUUCUAACAGGAUCACAUGAUGUACAAAGAGGUAGCACGCUCAAUCGCAUCCACCAAUUAAAAUAGUCACGCCCAUAUUAGUAAAUAUAUACUAUUGGUUCCUCGGAAAUUCUUCCGCAAAUCAGGAUUUCUAACAGGAUCACAUGACG